GAUGUCACAUCGAAGUACAUGUGCAAGCGACAAAUUAAUUCCGGUCUAUUGAUGAAGCAGGAAAUGAAUAAUGAUUAAGAAAAGAAAAUAUCGAACAGUUACAAUGAUAAAAUAAACAUUACUACGAGGGUAGUAUAUCCACGACAUAUACAUAUAUUGUCAUGAUUUCGACCAAAAUCAAUAAUCAAAUGCAUUUUUAAGACUGUCUUCGACCGAUGGUUGACAAGUAGUGUGUAGAUGGAUAAUAGCAUUCGGCGAUGUUAAUCUCGGUCAACCUUAUGUGUAUACAUAACUUCAAUAAUAUAGGUACAGUCACCUCCAAUAAAGUGUCAGCGAUGGAGAAAUUGCAAAGAAUGCUAAGAAAAAAAGAACUCGGCUUGUACGAUCGCAUGUGUUCUCCAUAUUCCUUUAUGCCUCCAAAACGUGGACCCUACGAGAGAGUGAGAAAAAGAAGAUAGACGCGCUCGAGAUGUGGUGCUGGAGAAGAAUGCUGAAGAUACCUUGGACCACCAAUGUACUAAAAAGGCAGCGACUAGGUGGCGUCUAGUAAAGCAGAUCACUGAUACAUGAUGACCAUGACCAAUCUGACAAAACUGUAACGACGAAGAAGAAGAACUUUCGCACUUGUCUACAGAGUAUAGCUGACCAUUAAAUUGGUUAGAUCAUUGGUGUCUUGGAGAUAUAAAAGAACCACGGCUGACCAUUAAAUUGGUUAGAUCAUUGAAUUGUUAUAGGUAUAAAAGCACCACGGCUGACCAUUAAAUUGGUUGGAUGAUUCAUGUCUUACAAGUAUGAAAACUGCAUAGCUGACCAUUAAAUUGGUUAGAUCAUUGAAGUCUUGCAGAUAAAAUAGAACCACGGCUGACCAUUAAAUUGGUUAGAUCAUUGAAGUGUUACAGGUAUAAAAGCACUACAGCUGACCAUUAAAUUGGUUAGAUGAUUCAUGUCUUGCAAACAUGAAAGCUGCAUAGCGGACCAUUAAAUUGGUUAGAUCAGUCAUGUCUUACAGACAUGAAAGCAGCACGGCUGACCAUUAAAUUGGUUAGAUCAUCUCAUCGUUAAAUCGAUAAGUUCAUUUACAGCCUGAAAAGUUAUCAAGUACAUAAAUUAAGAAGAUUGAAACCCUGAUCGAUAAAUUGAUAUUACGAGUGGUAAGAAGUUUGAAGCUAAAAUUUGUGUGAGGCAAACUGUUAACUAAAUUAAGUUACAGAUUAAUAAACGCAGCACUCGGCGAGCAAGUCUAAUUGUUGUGCCGAAGGUGAGUGGAAAGAGAUAUAUGUAUAACAUACGAAGGAGUACAGCUUCAUAAGUUGUUACUGUCAUCUUUAUAAAUGUAAGUUCAGUUAAUCAAUUUAAAUCUAAGCUACCUGAAUACAUUUUAGAUUUUUGUAAAAAAGUAAAGUAAAUUUAAGUCAAAUCAAUGGCGACUAUAUUAUGUACAUUGUACGAUAUUGUUUUCAAGUAAGUGACUAUUCCUUUGUCUUUUUGAGAAGUAAUUCUUUUAACCCUGUUAUAAGCACCUUACUACAAAAUACGUAGUACAAAAUGAUAUAAAAUGUGAUUGACUAUUAGUCACGUUUUGUUAUGAAUAUUUACAAUAUGUAUAACGCAAUUUCUAAUAUUAUAUUGCCAGUUACUAAAGUCAUCAUAAUUGGCUUUAUUAACGAAUCCGUGGCUAAUGCUGGAUUGGUGAAGUUUCCAGAGAUACUAUUAACUACGAGUAUAUCAUAAUUAUUGGACCAAGUCAUGGAGGAAUUCAUUGUAAAAGUCGCUGUUUAGGCAACUCCUCGCUGAGGACACACUAGUCGCAGUCGGGGUAUGUUGAAGCUGGAUUUUGUUAUCA
This is a long non-coding RNA of Papilio xuthus (Asian swallowtail), 1843 nucleotides long. RefSeq lists it as uncharacterized. The record is from RefSeq and is a predicted model, not a curated record. NCBI's taxonomy places the organism in Eukaryota, Metazoa, Arthropoda, Insecta, Lepidoptera, Papilionidae. The transcript is spliced from 3 exons.